This 327-nucleotide long non-coding RNA is filed under the name Phaseolus vulgaris (common bean). RNAcentral's name for it is "long non-coding RNA (PVUL_LNC005210)". The record is from RNAcentral. Lineage: Eukaryota; Viridiplantae; Streptophyta; Magnoliopsida; Fabales; Fabaceae.
CCAUGUACACAAAACUGGUACGGUUAACGCAAGCAGCGAAGAGAUGUUGGGUGGAUGGUUCCGGAGACGCUAGCGUUGGAGAUGUGGAGCUGGUAGUGCGCUGCGGUGAUGGAAGAGAAGGUAUGGAGAUGAUGGUGGAAGAUGGAGAUGCUGCAGCUAUGUGACGCGGUGAUCGACGGUGAGCUCUGGUGGCGGCGGCUGGUUGGGUACAUUGAAUGGGUUGGGUAUUGGAGAGAGGGAGGAAUGUGUGUGAAAAUGAGAACCGUCAGUGUUUGAUAGGUGGAAAGAGUAAGAGAUGAGAGAAUGAAUAUGAAAACUGUUGCCAUG